GUGGAACUGUCGUCUCUAACUGCUGUCAUUACUCUUUGUCGUUCAACUGCCUUCAACUGGGCUUCUUGAAUCAUAGAAUGUGAUAAGAUUACUCAAUAAUUGCUUUAAUAACUGCUAUUCUGGACAAUCAUAAUAUUUUAUGUUUGCUAAGAUUUUGGGCGAUUCGAAGGUUUGGACGAGAAAGGGAUCAUCGCUUUGGGCGACCGUAAGGCACUUCAUUCGCUCAGAUUUUGGGCGUCUUGCAAGUUUGGGCGAUGAUAUCACUGUGUUCGUGGGUUUUCACUGCAUUUAUCAAUAAUUCUGUUUGGAUCUUUAUCCUGGACUCCCCAAUUAGGCUUCACUCUUUGAACUAUUUGAUUUGGGUUACACUUUUAGUGUGUCAACAACAGGCAAUAUCAAGGAACUGUUCAUUUGCGAGUUUCCUCUCAGACUUUACCGUUCCUCCACUGUUCAUUUGUGAGUUCUCCAUUUCACACCCAAUGUGGGUAAAUUACUGUUCACAAGCGAGUUUUACGUUGUUCGAAUACUGUUCACUAAAUAUCUCAUCACCUUGGUUACCAACUAAUUUAGGAUGAAGUAACAAUUAGAUUUGUUAUGGUUUAUUCAUUUCAAUUGUUGAAUCUGUGAUUUUUUUUUGUUCGAUCUUUUGAGAAAUCGAACUCAAAAUAGCUAAAGUACGUUCCUUUGCUGUUCUUGUUGUGUAUUAUUUGUUCAAUUUGUUGCUCUUUUGUAUAAUUUUUUCCUGCUCUCACCAUUUUCCUGUUGUCAGUUCCAACUCUUAAAAGCGCAAAAUGGAGGGUAGUGGUAUUACCAGUGAAGCACAGGGGACUGCUUCCCGAUGCGUACAAUUAAGGAUGGUGUUCACUUCCAUACUGCAUCUGUACUAGCAGAGGUUAAAAGGAUUACUUCCUUUUACGGUGAUGUUCUUUCUGCAAUUAUCAUGGAUGUAGAGCAGUGCAAAGGUUGCUAAAACUAAAGUUCAUAGGGAAUAUGAUUGGGUUUGGAAAGUGUCACAGUAUCGGAGUGUUUGAUUUCGAGAGUGGGAGUAUUGGGCCAAUUGACAGUUACAAUGGUUAUUCCCAUAUGUUUUCGCUGCCACCUGCUUUGUUUGUUCUAAUGUGUUAUGUUGAGGAAUUUAUGUGUUUUUCCUUUUUGUUUUUUAGGUGAAAUAUGUUUUACAUAUAUAUUCCAGUUAGUCGUUUUGGUCUUACUUUAUUUCAGGUUGCUGACUAUAAUAUUAUAGUUGCACAACAAAGCAUAGUUUUGUUGACAAGAUCCCAAAAAGGUAUUCCGAAGCAUACUACGGUAAAUAAAAUAUAUGUUGCAUUUAUAGUAAAGUGCCUUAAAACCAUUUAUGUUAAUGAUCCGAUUCAUUCCAUACUGUAUCUGCAGUGCAAGCAAGAAUCUAGAUAUUUCUAUCAAACUUGGAUGCUAAACCAAGGCUGGAAUGUAUAUAUAAUGCAGAUGUAAGGGUAAAAAAUUUGUAACCUCCAACUCAGCAUUUUAUGAAGAGAAAGAGAUACCCUUGCUUUUGAUGGGCAUAAUAGAAUGUUCCGAGUUCAAAGACUGGUUUUUUAAAGACUCUUUUUGUAGAAGAUUGACUUUCUAAAUACUCUCUUCUCGUAGAUAAUAAACAUACCCAUAAAGUUUUUUCCUCUUCUGUGGAAUCCUUUAUAACAUAUUAAGUUCAGUAGGAAAACAAUUUAAUGUAUAUAAAUAAAGGACACCCCUGAUGCUCCCUUUAUUAAAAUCACUUAACUUGUGGAGGGGUUAAAAGAAGAACAUAGCACAAAGAACAUGGGCAGUGGGAAUAAGAGACACCAUUCUACACCAUAAGAAAAUCAAUUAUUUCAUUGAGUAUGAAUCGCCACAAAUGUGUAUUUGCAGGUUUCUUCAUUAGUGUACUACACACUUUAUCUAUUGACAAUAUCCUUCUUCGUUAGAGUGAAAAAUUUAUGGCUGCAGGUGAAUGUAGAUGUGACAUUGAGGAUAAAUCGCCACUGGUGUGUUUGCGUGUUUCUUAUUUUGUUUUCUUCAUUGUUUAUUAGGGAUUAAAAUCAUGAAACAAGUGAUGCCAACAAAAAUAUGAUAAUCCAUGGUCCUAAUAGAAUUAUUAGUUGCUUUUCAGAUUCUCCAUAUAGGACACCUUACAUCAUGCACAAAAAAAUAAAAAUACAAAUACAAAUAGCAAUUAAUAGGAAGAAAGAAAGUUGCAGUGGAAUUGGCAAGGAGUCACAAUUGCUUUUGGGAAUAUCUUUUAUUUUUUAAACUUUGCUCUAAAUCUAAUAUACCACCUGGUUAUUAACUCAAUGGCAUUAAGCUUUGCAGGCUUAUGUCGUGCUUCUUUCUCCACAGUAAUUUGUGUCAAGCUUUAUGCUAAUUUCUAGUUUUACACUCCAAGUGCAGCUCUUAGAGAAGUGAUGGGCUUUAUUCUAUUGAAAAGAAUUUUGAAUUUCAUAUUGAAAAAUCUUUUUAUAAAACUUUCCUUUCUGAUCUCGCAAAGUAUAAACUGCAUAAAUCCACUAUUAGAAUUUUUUACUCAAGACAAUUAAAUAUCAGGUCAAUGAUUCAAGGAAAAUUUGCUCGAAAAUUGGCUCUUGGUCUACAAUUAUGCCUUUCUUCUUCUACAAUGUAAUCUUACAUGAGUUAUUUGUUAUGUGACUAACCAAUGUCCAAAUUCUGAAGUGGAUUCCAGUAUAUCUGUAAAUAAUUUUUAUCGAAUGGUUUUGGUGAAUAAUGAGGUGCACUUGUUAUUACAUUUUAACCAAUACAGAGUAUGAUUAUUUUCCUUUACUGUUUCAUAGAUUUCAACCAACAUAGAAUAUAAUUAUUUUCCCUUCACGAUUAUUCCACUUUAUGCUCACCAUCUCUAGGACUUGCUUUGUCCAAACAUCUUAGUAGUUUGUAAAUUAUAUGCAAGAUAAGAUGCAUCUACUUUAUAGUUUAUAAUUAGCUGAAACGAGCUUGUCCAAGAUGGGAACUACUACUGUCAAAGAUAUAAAUGAAUGAACUGGAAAUCCGAAACUUCUUAAGAGUAUUCAUUCAUGUGGUGGUCAUUGGUUUAUGUGCUAUGCGCCUUUUUUUUUUUUUUAAAGAGUUUCCUUUAUCUCCAUACAUUUAUGUUAGGUUAGUAAAGUUUGAAAAGGAUUGAAAUGCAUAUCGUACCUUAUGUGACUCUCCAUCAAAUUAUCUAUUGUUCUGUUCCAAUAAAACCUUGAGAAGUGAUAUUCUUCAAUGGAAAAUUGGUGAAAUUAUGUUAAGUCAUUCUUGUCAUUACUAUCGUCUAGAACACUUGUCCUGCCUCCAAAUUAUUGAUGCAUUGAAAUGUGGACAUCUUCGCUUUUUUGAGCUAUUUUUCUUUCAUUAUAAAUUUGUGUCUGCAAAGAAGUCAAUCUGCCCCUUCAUGAUAUUCUACUGAUUUCUGUGUAGAUGAUUGAAUCUCUUUUGCAUUUGUUUAAGGACGAACUCAAGCUCAGAACUUAAAAUGAUUCUCUUGCAGAAUCGAAAUCUGAUAUUAUGGUCAAGAUUGGUCUGAGAAAAGAUUCUCACUCAUUUGCUAAGGCUUGUGCUGCUAUUUUUCGAAGAAAAUGGCACCCUGGGGACACUAUCUCUAGCAGUGAUUUGGAGCUGCUCUUGAUAUCUGAUGCAGCACAAGUAUCAAACUGCCUUGUUUAUUUAGCCAUGAGGGCUUUGGUGUCAUCCUCUUCACAUGGCUCUCUCUGUAUUUAAAAAUAAAUGUUUGAAUUUUUAUUUGGUGUAAAAAAUGAUUACUUACAAGAGAUAGCAGAUGAGAGUGUCUAUUUUUUGUUAUUAAUCCGUUUACCAGCUUUCAACAACUCAUUCAUCAUGUUGGCAUGUGUAGCAGGCUGAUAAUUAUGAGAAAGUGUUCUCCCACAGGAAUUUCUUUGGGGCCAUUUGUAGUCAUUUGGCCUUGACUUUCUAAAACACAUCAGCAUGAUAGCUGUAUAUCCAAAGGGAAUGGGAUCCUCGAUAAGAAGGUUAUAUGUGCAGGGGAAAGAAAUCAAUGGUGCUGGCAUUAAUUCGAGUUUUGCUAUCCACCAGGAUGUUCAUGGCAGAACUACAGAAGUUGCCCUUGGAUUGUUAGCUGUCCUUGGUUCUCUUUUCACUUUUGCCACUACUUUCGAGCAGGAGUACAACAGUGAUAUUCUUGGGGAGAGAGGGGAGAGAGGUAAGAGUGGUUUUUAAUAUCACUAAUUUCUUUUCUGCUUGAUGAUGAUAGCUGUGCAUGGUAUUGUAGAAUAUUGUUCAGAAGGUAUACUGAAAAUGGAAUUGGUGAGGAUCUUGCCUACAACAUUGUGGAGUGCAUAACAUGAAUUAUUUCUUGGACCAUAUGAAUAAACGUUAGUUUUAGUAGCAUAAUUUUUUCAGUAGGUAUCUACUCUUUUUUUAUUUUUGUUUUUGCAUACUUUAUUAACCCUUUCCACUACUUUUUGUGCUUGAUGUAUCCCCUAAUUAAAUAUUUAUGUUGUAUAUUGUGACGGGGUAUGCUGGUUGUCUACAAUUCAUUGACUGAAGAUAGCAAAAAAGGACUUUGAGGCUGCAUAUAGAAACUUUCUUAGCAAUUUGAAUUCUGAUGUUAAAGAAUACGUCCUUAUGCCGAGCCAAAUCAUAUUAUAUGCAUCACAUGAAGAUGGGGAUGGAGUUACACUAACAAAAUCUACCUCCCUCAUGUUCUGCAAGACUCUUAUUGCUUCUGACAGCAGUAUCCAUAGGGGAUUUUUGUCCCUUGUAGGGCUACUGAAGAUUGUUUCCUGCCUCUGGUUUGACAUUCUUCUAGUCUUCUAGCAUCUAAUUGCACUUGAUAGGUCAUAUUCAAGGGAAGUUUCCUAUAAAUUUUGUGCUACGUUUUUUCUAAUAGGAUUAUCAUGAGCAGAGGCCCUCCUAGGAGCUCAUAGCUAAAGACCUAUAUGGCGUUCAAUGGAAAUUCCUUCACAUUUAUAUAGGCCAUCCAAGGCAGCAUUUGCUCACUACUAGAUGGAGUAUAUUCGUUAGCCAAAAGAAUCUUGUAUCGGGGAUGCAGUUCUCUUUCGGCGUUGCACAUAUAAAUUCCAUUAUUGUAGAGCCAUAUGUUAAAAGUUUAUAGUGGAUGAGUUAAGGCUAUAUAUGCUGACCUAUUGGGGAAAAGUUAGUUUUCGAAAGAAAAAUAUCCUGAAGAAUGUAAUUACAUAAGUAUGUUAAGAAGCGAGGAAUUAAAUGAAGCGAACCAAAAUUCAAAAUCAAUACUUAAUCCCGCUUUUCUCCCUUCUAUAGCUCUAAUGCUUUGUCAAGCAAGAGAGCAUACAUUAUACACAGUUGUAAUAUUGAGUUGAGGAUGUGAUUCAUAGGAAUCUGACACAUUGAACACACUAACAUCAUGGGCAAAUGACUGGUUUUUUCCUUAAAAAAGGCACUGGGGAGUACUAUCCAUUUUUGUCGUGUUCACAAUGUAAUCCCUUAUUGUUCAUUAACUGGUUCCAUUAAAUAUAUGAACUAUAAAAUGGCUUAUUCUCUCUCUCUCUCUCUCUCAAAUGUACAUAGAACCCCCAAAAUAUGGAAUCCUUAGAAGACCCGUGAAUGGAAGAACAACAAUCGACGUUGGAAUGGAUGGGGUGGCCAUCAUCAACCUUCAUCACUCUCUUUUUCUUCAUCACCCAACAGCAAACGUCGCUAUUCCCGUUCAUUUGUGGUGCUGCUUUUCAUGAUUUUUUAUUUGUCUCAGUGACUUUCUGGUGAUUUUGGUGUUUUUCAUCAUUAACGUGGCCAAUCGGGCUGACCCGGAUGGCCCAAAAAAUGACAUCACUAGCGCUGUAGAUCAUCAUCAGCAGCAGUCUUCCUUUAAUCAGAAGUCAACGAAGCCAGCUGACCAAAAUUUUCAUUUGAUGGUUCAGAAAAUAUCUCCUCUGCAAUCCAACAGUCAGUUGUACUGUAUAAAUGGAAAUGAGUCUCAAAGGCUAAUAUUAAUAGCAGUAAUAACUAGAGUCAUAAGAAAAUGAACAGUGAAGAUGUUGGGGGUGAGGUGUUUAAAAGAGAGAUGAGGGAUUUGGAGAAAAUGUUGUCAAACUUGAAUCCAGUGGCUGAGAAAUUUGUGUCGCCGUCACUUAGGACGGGGUACCAUAGGCUGGUGGUGCCGGUACCACAAGCCGCAGGGCACUAUGGGCUAAGGGUGAGUAUCUAAACGAACCAAUAGCUGCAAAAUUGUUCGCCCAAUUGAAACGGUCUAAAAUUUUGCUGCUUUCAAGGGCUAAGAAACGGUGUCUCUUUCUGCAUCAAAAUUGUUGAUUAGUGAAAAAAAGGCUUAAGGAUAAAAUUCUCGCCAAGUGGCCCAAAGGUUAGAUUGCUUCUUUGAAUUUUUUUUCAUUUAUUUGUUGAUUGAAGAAUUGACAAAUACUUGGAGUUUAAUUGUAAAUGAUAAAAUUUUAGUAAUUGUGGUACACAUGUGAAUCGCAGUAUUUAUGUAAAUAAAGCUUUUUGUUCAGUCAGCAAAAAUGCAACUAAAGAAUUGCCACAUAGCAUUUUCAUGAUACUUUUACUGGAGAGGAGAAUAGUAGGAGUUAUGUUGCAUUUUCAUUUUCAUGUUGUUCACUUAUUUGAGCUGAUAAAACAAUUCGUUUAUGGAAAUUGGGACUUGAUCAAUGCUAAGGAAUUUAUUCGCAUAAUAACUAUGGUAAGCAUUUGAUGACUUCAUUGCUUUACUUAAAGCAUGUUUGGCUAAGAUUGAAAAUGUUUUUCUGCCUAAUAUGCUUAGAUAUGCUAUUUUUUUCUUGCUUCUAAGUUAAAAAAGUUACUUAUUUACUUAUAAGUAAAUCUUUUAAGCUUAGCCAAAAAAAAUUGUUAGGGACUGUUUAUUAACAAAACUUCCUAAACUGUGCACGUUAUUUAUGUUUUACAUGUUCGUUGUUGAGAUUCUAAUUUAGUUAUAAGUUGAUGUUCUUGAUUUGUAGCUAAAUAAUUAUCAAACUUGCAUGGGCCUUCUCAUUCUAGAAAAGGAGGAGUGGGUUUUCAGUUACGAACAAGCUAAAAUUGCUAUUAGUUCUGCUGAAUUGAAGCUUAAGUGCGAAAAAGCUGCUCAUGCAUCUGAUUUGAUAGAUGCCAGGAAGCGGGAAGAUAGUCUGAAAAAGGCUGUUGGAAUUGAGAAAGAAUUUGCUAAAAAUGUAUUAUUUUGUGAGGUUUUGCCUUCUAUUUUUAUGAUGUGUAUGGUCCUUGUCAUAGUUUCUAAUCUGGUAAACUUAUGUAGAUUGAAAAUUCAUUUGAUGAGAUGCGUGCAGAAUUGGCUGAUGCAAAGGUUGCAACAGAGACUAAACUAGCCAUGGCAUGAAAUGUGAUUGAAAAUGCUCAAAAGAAGUUCAUGGAGGUAGAGCAAAAUAUGACGGAGAAUGUGACUAAUGGAUGGAAACUAAGCGUGUUUAUUAUUUUUUUCCUUUCAUAGUUAUCUUUUGGACUAAUGAUGCAAUAAUGUGCUAAAGCUUAUUUUCUCAUAAUUUGUUUUGCUUAAGUACGGGCACAGAAACUACCUGAAGAGUGGACUCUAUUGAGAAGGGCGUUGUGCAACUCGUAACUUUGCAUCGUAUCAAAUGGCUUGUCAAGGAAGCGGCAGCUAAUAAAUAUUAUUCAAGGUCGCACCACGAAAAGCUUGUCAUUGUGGAUCACAACAUUUGCUUUAUUGGAGGACUGGAUUUGUGCUUUGGCCGAUAUGACGCAACUAAUCACAAAGUAGGUGAUUUCCCUCCUUUCCUGGCCUGGAAAAGACUUCUAUAAUCCAAGAGAACUGGAACCAAAUUCUUGGGAAAAUGCCAUGAAAGACGAACUGGAUCAAGAGAAAUAUCCUCGUAUGCCACGGCACAAUGUUCAUUGUGCUUUUGGGGGGACCACCUUGUAGGGACAUUACUCGGCACUUCAUUAAGCGUUGGAACCAUGCAAAGGUUGGACUUUGAUACUUGUGUCUGACUCAUGAAAUUUUUUUCUUUAAUUAAUAUAUUUGAACAGUAACAUAGAACAGCAAGGCUCCAAAUGAACAGAAAAUACCAUUACUUAUGCCACUACACCACAUGGUUUUAUCGCAUUACAUGGGAAGAAGCAAAGAAAUAGACAUUGGUUAUAAACUUUCUGGAGUGAAUCAGCAGGAAGGAUUAUUUUGCAUUAGAGUCACUACCAGAAUAAGUCCCAUUGCUUUUACCUCCCAAAUCAAAUGGACCAAAAACUUCGGUUGUGGAACAUAAACUGAUUUUUUUAAACUCAAAUGAAUGUCAUGAAACUCCGCUAUAUGGGCAAUUUGAAGGUUUGUCAUUUGCUUAUGAGGAAUAUAAAUAUGGUAAUUCACUCGUUGAUAUGAAACCAAGUGGUUCUGUUUGGUGAUUAUGAUUGGGUAAAUACUCGAAGUGCAGCAAUAUUGGAAGCUGAAGCAUCUGAAUUGCAAGUUAAGAAUUAUUGGUGCGAUGCACUAGAGCAAGGUUCUAAGUACGUAUUGUCCAAUAACUAGCACAUGUUGGUCGGUGUACUUCAUGCCAUUGUCAAGUAAGAAUUUAUCUUUUUUUACUGCAAUUUAUUUGGUGGCACACAUUUGUGAUCUUGCUUUGAUGAAGUUUUUUGUGAGUUAUCCUUUUAAGUUUUUACCCCGUCAAGCUCGGCUCUAAAGCUGCUUAAUCUAUAGAUAUGUUGUACCAAUAUCUGUAUUCAAACUUAUGCAAAAUUUCUUGAAUGACUUCUAAUUUAUUGGGUUCCACAACAUAUUUUCCCUACUGAGAAUGGAUAUAGUUUUCUUUUCAUGCAUGGCAACAUGGUCUUGUUCAGUGAAGUUGGUUACUUGGUUUCUGACCACAAUUUGAGAACCAGCAAAAAUGGGAAUUUUAAUAGGGAUCUAAGAGAAUUUUGAUUCUAUUGCGUAGUUCAAAAUCCUUUUGAGACCAGUUAGUGCAAGUUUAGUACACUAGAUAAGACUCUAUAAUGUCUUAAUCUUUUCUAAUGUACUCUUGUGCCCCUUCUGAUACCUGUGUUCCAAACUUAGCAAAAGGCCAAUUGACUAUCAAGGUAUAGAAUCAGAAUAAAUAAGAGUUGGCUGAUGAAGCCACAUUCAUUGUAUAUUUUACUCAUUAAAAAUCAACACUGUCAAGAUUUAGUAUAUUUGAACACGUAGAUUUUUGACGUUUAAUUUCCGCACAACCAUUGAAAAGAAAGAUGAGAUAAACAGUUCAACUGAAGAACACCACCACCAACUAUACUAACAACAUUUCUAUAAUUCACAGGGGCAGUGGGUUUUGCUCCAACUUGAUUCAUCUCAUCUAGAUUAAUCUCGAAAGAAUUUUCCCAUAGGAUUAAUAACAGUUAUAACUGUGAUAUUUGUUUCCUCUAACAUAUGGUUCAGUCCCAGUUUAAUGACCUUUUUUAUCAUGCAGGUCAUUGGAAGUGUUGGCCAGUAGUCUACUGGAACAAGCCAAAAUGAAGAUAACAUUCAUAGUGCUUAUUUCAAUUGUCAACUAUGUCAUAUUAUGUAGUUCUGGAAAUGAGCUUUAUUUCAGAAAUUAUAGCUGGAUGCAGUGGCGAAUCCAGGAUUUUAAUUGAGCACGGGCGGUUGUUGAUUGUCGACGGUCGUAAUAAUAACCAAUGCCGUGAGUUGAAAUUACUUAGCCCCCAUUUGGCCCCCAUUAUUUGAUUUAUAAUCGGGAAAUAAUGUUUUUUUUAUUUUAAAAAUGAAUG
This is an RNA transcript of Olea europaea var. sylvestris, 9690 nucleotides long. RefSeq lists it as uncharacterized. The record is from RefSeq and is a predicted model, not a curated record. The transcript has 7 exons. Lineage: Eukaryota; Viridiplantae; Streptophyta; Magnoliopsida; Lamiales; Oleaceae.